RNAcentral lists this ribosomal RNA (497 nucleotides) under uncultured bacterium. RNAcentral describes it as "partial 16S ribosomal RNA". It matches the Rfam family "Bacterial small subunit ribosomal RNA", at positions 28 to 507 of the family's 1533-position model. The record is from RNAcentral.
GACGAACGCUGGCGGCGUGCCUAAUACAUGCAAGUAGAACGCUGAAGAGAGGAGCUUGCUCUUCUUGGAUGAGUUGCGAACGGGUGAGUAACGCGUAGGUAACCUGCCUGGUAGCGGGGGAUAACUAUUGGAAACGAUAGCUAAUACCGCAUAAAAUGGAUUAUCGCAUGAUAAUCCAUUGAAAGGUGCAAAUGCAUCACUACCAGAUGGACCUGCGUUGUAUUAGCUAGUUGGUGGGGUAACGGCUCACCAAGGCGACGAUACAUAGCCGACCUGAGAGGGUGAUCGGCCACACUGGGACUGAGACACGGCCCAGACUCCUACGGGAGGCAGCAGUAGGGAAUCUUCGGCAAUGGACGGAAGUCUGACCGAGCAACGCCGCGUGAGUGAAGAAGGUGUUCGGAUCGUAAAGCUCUGUUGUAAGAGAAGAACGAGUGUGAGAGUGGAAAGUUCACACUGUGACGGUAUCUGACCAGAAAGGGACGGCUAACUACGUG